UAGAAUGAAGCUCGCUGGAUUGAGCGUUUAGCUGUUAACUAAAAUACUACGGGAUCAAGGCCCGUCUUUCUAG
This 73-nucleotide transfer RNA is filed under the name Kaloula kokacii (Catanduanes narrow-mouthed frog). RNAcentral's name for it is "tRNA-Asn". It matches the Rfam family "tRNA". Rfam says of the family: Transfer RNA (tRNA) molecules are approximately 80 nucleotides in length. Lineage: Eukaryota; Metazoa; Chordata; Amphibia; Anura; Microhylidae. The record is from RNAcentral.